Molecule: long non-coding RNA, 2906 nt
Filed under: Carica papaya (papaya)
Lineage: Eukaryota; Viridiplantae; Streptophyta; Magnoliopsida; Brassicales; Caricaceae
Description: long non-coding RNA (CPAP_LNC009528)
Source: RNAcentral
UUUGCACUUAAAAAAAAAAAAAACAAAGAAAGAAAAAAAAGCCAAGAACGACAGGAAAAGGAAAAGCAAACGCUGCUCCCUUCUCCUCUCUUCUCUCUCAAUCGAUCCUCAUCGCAUAAAUUUGUACGCAGAGAAGUUGCUUCUACUGAAAUCGGGCCUGCCUUUCUCCUAUCUACGGACUGAUUUCUCGUUGUUGGAGAUCAGUUUUGGGGAAGAAAAACAAAUCAAAAUCAAAAGCCUUAAGGCAUGGGCCAAGCUUUUCGCAAGCUUUUCGAUACCUUCUUCGGCAACAGUGAGAUGAGGGUACUCUCUCUCUCUCUGAUAAUAUAUAUAUAUACAUACAUAUAUAUAUAUAUAUAUAAUAUUGGAUAUACACAGAUUUACUUGUAAGCAAGUUUAGACAAUUUGGUUAGAUAUUUAUGUAAGUAUUAGAAGUUUUUACUUUCCAUAUUUUGAUUUAUGUUUGUUAAUAUUAAAGUAGUUGUUACAGCUGUUUUGUUGUUGAUGCGUUUCUGUUCUAUGGUUAAUACUGUUUUCCCCCUUUUUAUUUUUUCUGUAAUUUUUUUUUUUAAAAUAUAAACAGUGUAGUAUAUUACUAUAGGCACCAAGGGGUUGUUGCCUAUGUACAAAAGAAUUUACAUGUCAAUUAAAUUAUCCACAAGGUUUGAUAAAUCCUCCAAAUAUUAAGAUUUUUAUUUUCUGUUUGGAAGACGUUUGUAUUCUACUGUUCUUUUAUACCAGCAAAGUGUACCCAUGGAAAAUUUUAUGGUACUCAUUACGUAUAAAUUCAUGUAAGUAUGAUAAAUCUUUUCCAAGAAGCUAAGUUAGUAUCAGGAGCUGAAAUAAGUAUCCAGCAGGGUUGGUGUUGUUUUUUUUUUCCCCAAUUGUUGUUUAUGUAACAUUGUUGCAAUCUAUUGCUCAUGGGUAUAGAACAGUUUUCUAAUAAACUUAAUUGUUUAAUACAGAAAAUAUGUAUUACAAAAAUACAGAAUAAUGUGAACUUUGUUACUGAAUUGGCUUCCAAGUAGACAGUUGCACUGGCUUUACGGAAAAGUAGGGAAAAUAUUGUGGGUCUUCACAGCACAGCAGUUGCAUUGAUAUUUUGCAAUGUCCCCGUGAAAAUAUACGUGUGUGUUUAAUGUUUGGGGCAUUCGUCCUAUGCUUUUGACGGAAUUAUUUUGAAGGAAGGGACGAACUUAAUAAUGUUUACUGUAGGUGGGAAGGUCUUUUCUCUUGGUACUGUAUUGCAAUGCUCUGAUCAAUGCAACUCUAUUACAUUUUUUUUUCGUUUGUUGUUGCAUAUUGUUUUGCUAGUGAAGAAAAUGAAAAUUUUCAUUGGCAUAAGGAUAAAAUGGAGGAUGGUUCCCAAGGUAAGCUGAAUGGAAUAUAAGGAUUUAUCAUAUUAGUUGAAAUUAAGGCUUUUCUGGUGUUGAAAUUUGCCAUUUUUUUCCUUGUUGAAUUUUGUUGAGGGCAUGCGAGAUUUUAUAACAAAAGUUUACGAACAUUUAGGGAGAAAUAUCUCUCUUCCAAUAACAUCUUAUGUUCAAUGGUUACAAAAUUUUCACUGUUUGUAUAUAAGAUCUAUUUUUUACGAGAAAAUAAUUCACUAAAUAGCACCAAUUAAGUGCUAAUGCAAGAAGGAAUCUUUUUGCUAGACUAAAAGCCUAUAAGCCACAUUGUAUGAUCUUGAUCUAAAAUUGGGUUUCCACUUAAUCAAAGCUCAAUGAAACUGGCCAUUUCUCUUUGACGGAAACAAAACGAGCUUUCCACCAAAUUAAAGUCCCUCUCAUCUCUUUAUUUCCAAAUAAUCCUUCUUCUUCUUGCUCCCUUGAGGAAACUAAAAAGAAAAUAAUUGAUUUUGGGUGGGGCAGGGUUGGGGGCGGGGGAGGGAAGUGGAAGAACAACCCAACAAUAAGCAAAAGUAUAAGAAAGGAUAGACCAAAGCCUUGAAGCAACUUCGUAAUGCAAAACAGAUGAUUAUGGGUUUUUGGUGUCUUGGGUAGUAAAUAAGGUGAGUAAAACCAUUGGAGCAUUGAAAAGGGGUUUGUUUUCCUUAAAGGGAAGAGUUACCUUGAUUCAAGCUUGUCUCUAUCUAUGUUCCUCCUUGUGUGCUGAGAGUAUAGAGGUGUAUGAAAAGAUUCUUAUGGGCGAGGGUAGGGAGGAGCAUAAGGAUCACUCACUUGAGUUGGGUUGUCGAUCGAAGAACUCAAAUGGUUUAGAUAUCAGAAAUCUUAAAUUGAAAAACUUAUAUCUUUUGGCUAAAUGGCUGUGACGUUAUCCAAGGUAACUUAGUUCUUUGUGGUAUAGAAUGAACAAUAUUCAUGGAAAUUGCGGAGCUAGCUAUAAUACAACAACAGGGAGAUCCAUUACUCACAAAAGUCCAUGGGAAACCAUCUCCUAAGUCCUUCCUUUGUACCUAAUUUAACUCAUUUAAAAGUGAGAGAUGGCUCUUGAGGGCUAUUUUAGGAGGAUCACAGGAUUGGGAACUCUUCAUUGGCCGACUAACUUCCUAGACAUAAUGCUCCCGUUUCUUGUUUUGCAACCUCAAUAUAUGACAUCACAGGUUGAAACUUUGCCAUUUUUCAUCACUUAUCUGAUAGAGAGACUUGAGAAAUAUCAACCAUACACUAGUUAGUCUUCACUCACACCCCGAUUAUAAAGCCUGGACCUUGGAGCCUCAGGGUUAUAUACUUGCAAAUCCUUUUUUGACCAUAUCAGUGAAAGCCCCAUCUACUACUAUAGUCUUUUUGGCCAAUAUUUUGUAGAAUGCCCCGGUACCAUCAAAUAUAAAGGUAUUUGCAUGGAUUGCUAUUCUUCGACAACUCAAUAUACUAAUGACAUGUUGUAAGUUCACAAGUUAGAUCGGGCUUUGCCUCUAGAUAUCUGUAUAAUAUGCUAUCGGGNNN